UACGUAGGACCCAAGCGUUAUCCGGAAUUACUGGGCGUAAAGAGUUGCGUAGGUGGCAGAGUAAGCAAGAUAUGAAAGCGUGUGGCCCAACCAUACAUGGCAUAUUUUGAACUGCUCAGCUAGAGUAUGGGAGAGGUAGAUGGAAUUUCUAGUGUAGGAGUGAAAUCCGUAGAUAUUAGAAGGAACACCGAUGGCGUAGGCAGUCUACUGGCCCAUUACUGACACUAAGGCACGAAAGCGUGGGGAGCGAACGGG
RNAcentral lists this ribosomal RNA (255 nucleotides) under uncultured bacterium. RNAcentral describes it as "partial 16S ribosomal RNA". It matches the Rfam family "Bacterial small subunit ribosomal RNA", at positions 524 to 776 of the family's 1533-position model. The record is from RNAcentral.